GAUACUUCUAAGAAUUGAAGUACUGCAACUGGGGCGUGCCUCACCACCUCAUCAACCAGCAUGUGCCCCAUGUGGCGCCCCAGUCACUACCGCUGGUGGUGCCGCUGCCGCCACCAAUGGUGCCGCCAAUGGAACUCCACUACGCUGCCUGCGCCUACACCAACAAUAGAAUAGGGCGAGGGCGAGAACGAUGAGAGCAGUCGCAAAUGAAAAGGCCAUUGCCGUGAUGGCCAACACCUUAUACUUGUGGUAAUUUGUUUCCGCCCUAUACCGUGGGGGACGAACGGCAUUUUGAAUAUCAAUUAAAAGCCUUGACAACAUAUGCAGGAGAGAAAAUAAAAUAUGGGGUGUUUGAGAGCAAGACAAACAAACACCACACAAUGCAUUCUUGGGACACAGAAUAUAAAAUAGUCGAUUAUAGCCUAAAACAAAUAGAGCUUGAAAAGAUAGGCAACAGAUUCUGAUAAAAAAAUGAUUGUUUUUUAUUUUAUUCCCGGGAAUCGAUUCUGAGUAAAAAAACGCAUUUGAUAACGAAUAAAAUUUCUGAUUCUAGAAUAUAAAAAAUAACAUAAAUGCGUUUUGUAACGAAUAACUGUAUAAAAUUUCUAUUCCAAUUCUUUUUUAAUUACCUUUUUAGAUUAAUGUAAAUUUGAUAUUGAAUUUUCAUAUACCAUUCACUGAUUAAUUAUAUUUUUAUACUAAGUAAUAAAAAGGGAACUUUCCUACCAUACAAGUGAACACGCAAGCUCUGAUUGAUCUUUGGUCAUGGUAGUUCACUCCAUAUAAUCGACCAAAAUAUUUAUCGAACAACAGCUGACAACAACUUAGAUACAUGAAUGAACUACGAAAGAGCUUCAAAACAAUUGAGAGUGCUCGACAUUGCAAGAAUAUAUCCAAAUUCAUUACGAUUAAACCAGCAACAAAUAUAGGCACAACUACCUUAUUGGCUUCAUAAUCGCUGCGUGAAAUCGCCACGCCGAGCAACUACCUCAUGGACUAUCGAACGCCGCCGUACGACUGCCGCACGACUGCCGCACUCAAAACCAAGCUGAACACUCCAUUUCAACAGAGCCAAGCCCGUCCCCCUCGUCCACAACGCCUCGCGGAAGAUGAAUCGGUAGACAAAAGAUUAAAAAAAUAUAUAAAAGAGGCGAAACGGCGAGAAGAAAUAAAGGCAACGCACCUGCAGCGGCAGCGGAGGCGGGAAAGGAGAAUCGACCGGCGAGCUCGAGCGAGCGGAGGAGAAGAUGGAGAGAGAUUACCGCCGACUCGAUGGGAUAUGGAAGAUUUCAGCUAUAAUCCGAGCUCGAGAUCGUCCAAUUUCCCAAUCCCACAAAAAGCUCUAAUUCUCUCGACUUCCCCUUCUUAUAUGUGCCGCGGAGGCGCGGUGGUGGGUCGGAAAUUUCCCGCCUUUUAGCGGCGUGCCAUGUGCAAAGUGAGACUAUACUAACCCCAACCACAGCCAUGAUCACUUACAAGUCGCAGCACUUCUAGGUUGGACUGACAGAACACUACCAAAACUACCGAAUGAAAACUAAAGGUAAAUCCAUGUUAUUGCUCUACAUAAAAGAAACACGAGACAAAGCAAUCCAACACAGAGCAAUCCAAAAGAGAGAGCGACAGAUCGUGCGCGAGACAGAGCAAUCAAGAGAGAGAAAGAGAGAGAGAAAGAGAACCUAAUCUGGCUAGCUCGAUCUAGAAAGAAAACCAUCGAUCGAGCGAGCAGACGUCCGAUCUCCGAGAAAGAACCAAAUCCUCACGAUCUCCAACCGUCGGCGCUCGAUCUCCGAUCUCACGCCAAUGGAGGAAAACCUUCGCCUUCGACUAAAGCUCGGGAAAGAAAAGCGAAAACCGAGAGAUCCAGAGAGGGAGCUCUGAGAGAGAAUCGAGAACUGAGAGUCUCUUUGCUCGAGCAAGCUAACCUCCGAUCUCCAGAAAGAUAGACAUAUCUGCUGUCGCCGUCAUCGUCGAUGUCGCCGAUCAAAGAGCCGAACCCGCUCAAGAGCCACCGAGAGAGAAAAACGAAGAACCAGAGAGAUCAAGCGAGAGCCCCCUCGUGUGGACGAACACCGGUGGAGGUUAUCACUGCUGAGAAGAGAGUGAGAUCCGGCGAUUUAGGGUUUACUCCCAUCUCCCAUCGAAGAGCUCAUCGAGCAAUUACAAAGAGAUAGAGAGAGAAUCCCCGAGAGAGUACGUGAGUCUAGAGGUUUCAAGAGCGCUCGUGAGAGAGAAUUCGCGCGCGAAAAAAUCCGAGCCCCCUCUACGCCAAAAAAUGAGCGAGCCUUUAUAUAUUUUUUUUCAACGUUUUUUUUUCCUUUUUUUUCUUUUUCUUUUCUUUUUGGUUCCUUUUUUUUCUCUUCAUUCAUUCUUCCUUCUUUUUCUUCUUUUUUUUUUUUUUCUUUCUUCUCUCUUUUUUUUUUUUGUUUUUCCUUAUUUCUAUUUUUUUAUCAUUUCAUUUCAAACAUUUUUUUUUUUUGCAAAUUAUUUGUUUAAAAUGUCAACAAAAAAUUUCAGGUGUCAACAAGAUCUCCAGAAACUGGAAGCAGUUGAAGGCCUUUUGCUUGUCGUAAAAUGGCAUCAAGAAUUGCCUUCUCAGGUUUUAGUGAACCCACCCGAGCAAUUAGAAUGCAUCAAUAUUUUCUAACCCUUUUCUCGGUUUGAAUUGCAGGUUCAUGGGAGACAUUCAAAUGACCACACGCUACCCGCCUUACUGUGACCACGGUGAGCGCUAUCCUAUGGCGGUAUUGGCUGUGAUCAUAGGAGUUGUCGUCCUAGUCAUUGGCAGCUUCAUUUUUUGGUGGAUGUUCAAAUGUGGUAGUUGGUCUCUCGUAGCAGCGCCAGUGGUGCUAGCAGAGGCACCUGCUGAGGCACCGGGGGAGGCGCCUGAGGAGGUAGGUGGAGCUCGUGGACAUGGCAUUCACUUUAGGAGCGUCAUCCCCGGAGUCUAGUUAGGUUAUUUGGAAGAUUCGCUUGUGCAAAUUGGGUGGUCCUAGACCGCAAUCUUGCAAUGGCAGUCGACGGUGACGGUCGGCAGUCGUGCGGUAGUCGUGUGGCGAUCGUGCAGCGGUCGUGCGACGAUCGUGCGGCGGUCGUGCGGCGGCAGUUGACGGUCCGUGAGUAAGAAAAAAACAAAUAAAUACAAAAAUUUAUAAAUUUUUACCAAACACAUUUUUAUUCUUUUUCUAUUCCAAGAAUAGAAAUUUUGUAUAAUUACCAAACACCUUAUUUUACUCAGAAAUUGUUCCUGGAAGUGUGAACAGAGAUGAAUGAAUAUUUCCCUUCAGUAAAUUGAAUCACAGAUCAAGAAAAAUAAGAUUCGAGAGAUAUUCCCAUUGGGUUGAAUCAAUCUGACUAGUCAGAUUAUUGUGCGACGAAGUGAUUUUUGUCAGACUCUUGGAUUUGCUGAGUGAUGGAAUUGAACCAGUAAAACUGUUGAAUGAGAGGUCCAAAUAAGUUUGCGAAAGAUUGGUGAAAGAGCUUGGGAUAAUUCCGUCAAAGUUGCAAUUCAUCAAUUCUACUCUUGAUAGAUUUCUGAGAUUACCAAUUGAUUCUGGGAGCCUUCCAGAAAUAUUUGUGAAACUAAGAACUAGUGUCCGAAGAGAACCAUUCUCUGGAAAUUCGGGCAAAGAACCCUAAAGGAGUUUGUUGAAUGAUAGGUCAAGGGUCUAAAGUGUUUGUACCUGGAAGAUUUUAUCAGGGAAUACUCCCUGUAGACCACAAGAAUUGAGAUGCAUAAUAGUUAAAUUGGAGAAGCGGGCAAAGAACUCUAGGACGGUGGUAGACAGAUUAUUGUCGUCCAGUUUAAUCACCGACAGAGAAGGAAUAUUCAUGAGGGAAGAGCAAGAUUCAAUGGGACCUGAUAGAUAACAAUUCUGCUCAAUACUUGAAGCUUCGGCAGUGAAGAAGACAAGGCAUUGCACAAUUCAUUGCCUGUAGCAGACACGAUCACUCCGUCAAGGUACAACUCUCAGCUCUCUAAGAUUCCCAACAAGCAUCUUCAAAUUCGGAUUCUCGAGUUUCAGUGAAGUGAGCCAAGGAAAAUAAUGCAUGGAUACAUCAAGAGUAACCAACCUUGUCAAAUGUGAUAUUCCCAUGAGAACCUGUCCUGUGAAGCCCGCAUUUGAAAGAUUCAGGUACACCAAAUUGGUGAGAUUACUGAACCCAUAUGGGAUCUGUCGCGACCCGAUCUCGCCGCCCCUCGAAAUGGCCAAGGAGGGGAAAGGUCGGGUUUAGGGGUACUUGAUCUCAAGAUCGCGAGCUCUCCCAAGCUCGUACCCCGCGUGACAGUAGGUUUAUUAUGCAAUCUAGUUGUUUAUAACAACCUAAAAUAUAUAGGAGUUGCCACUAGCCUAAUUUUGGGGUCGGCUAGAAACUCAAUCGAGGGUCGGGAGUGUUCCUCGAUUCCUACGUAACCAGAUAUCUAGGUUCGAGAACUUGGGUUACGCUAAUAUUGCUAUUAGCGCCCUUUCGGUACCUAAACAAUAUGUUGUGUUUUUUCCUAACAUGUUCAUCCAUCUCUUUUUAUAUUUUCAGAAUCGUCAAUUCUAUAUUAAAUGAUCAUACAUGGUGGAUUACUUUCCUUCUAUUCUAUUCCUAAAAAAAAGAAAGAAAAACAAUCAAUGAAAAUUAAAUUGCAAGACAUGAAGUAAACAAUCAAGAUAAAACAGUAAACCUAAUCAUGCAAUUCUAAAGAAUAUAAAAGAGAAAACAAUCGAAAAAGAAAUGAAACCCGCAACUCGUCGGGCUUUAUACAAUGCAUGAAACCCGAGACAUAUGUCGGGAAAACGAAUAUUACAUGACAAUGGUCGGAAUGGGCAUCGACCUUCACCAUCUUCACGCUUUAUCCAUGUUCAGGAUCCCUAUUCUAAACCUAGUCUAAGAAAUAAGAAUCCCUUGCCUCAUCUUAUAUGACUAAGACAACGCAUAGAAAUCAUUAUUACAACGAACGGACAUAGGCAUCAGACAUGAACAUGAAUCCAGCAAAAUCAAAUCACAAAUAGGACAAAAUACAAGGCAUGUUUAAAGGUUCGUAAGAUCACCUAGACAAUAUACAAAAAUGUGAAACUUGCACAUGACAUAAGGUUGAAUGCGAAAAAGGUUUGGGUAAACAUUUAACCCUAAAUCAUAAUGCAAAGAAGUCACACAAGUCAUUAACAUUGCAAAGUGACUUGGAACUGAGAAUGUCAUGCUUGACAAAUUCUAAUUGCAAUUAGCCAAAUGAGUGCAUGAUAUUCACAUCAAAAGAGAUUCAAAUAUGAUAUGCCAUGCAUUAAUGCGAAACUUGUAACACGUGUUUCGAAUGUCAAGAAGACAACGAGGCACAAGUUUCAUGCAUACAACUUCGUCAAAAAUGCAGCAAAAUAUCAGGAUGUCAUAACACAUUAAUAGUGAUUUGAUCUAAAAAGAAAAUCUGAAGAAUAUGAAAUUUUACCACAGCGCGAAUAAAGAAAGGCGAACAACAUUUGUUAAAGACCCAAUCUUAGAAUCCUUAACAAGAAAAUCAUAGAAGACUGACAAGAGGUUAGCUUCGACAAGGGAACAACAGGGGUUCUGAAUUUCAUUUUAUGACAGAUUUCUAUCAUGCGCAUCACCAGAGAAGUUGAGUCCAAUUGAUGUGCAAAUCAUGCAAAAUCAGCAUCAUAAGAAAGUGACAGACAAUCAGGCCCACAAUAACAGUAUAUGCAUUUCUGACCAAGGCAAAUUCCAGAUUUCAGAAUGGAUUAGAAAAAAUGUUAAACAUAGCAAACGAUGGUCGAUUCAGGCAUGCGAUAUAUCAUUUUAAAGCUUGAUAUGUCUAUUACAAAUCUCUAGAAGACAUUAAGUCCUAAUAAUAUCAUUUACCAGCUCGUUCCAAGGACCGAAGCAUAUCAGUCAAAACAUGCAUACGAAUUUCCACAUCAGAACAGAACACAACAAUUUUCCAGAAUUACUUCCUAGCUUUUAAAGAAAAUUCAUGUGGCUAAUGAUAUCGGAUCAGGGUGUAUUAUAAUUCGUUGGAAAGCUAGUCGAACCAUCUUCAGCUCUCAUGAAGGCUUCAAACACAGAGAACCACAGCAACCAGCUCGUAUCAGGUCAUUUACACAAAAGGUCAUCCGAAACAGAGAAUCAAUCAGAACAGCAAAAAUUUCAAACAAGGUCAGGGAUAUUCUAGACAUACUCGACCUGGGUAAAUGAUCUUCAAUUAUCACGAAAUUUUUAUUUGAUAUAGAUUGGAACCUAAUGAACAACUUUCAUUUAGGCAUCAACUUUAGAAUCUAAUCACAAAAAAUCAUGUGAAAAUGGCAAACAGCACAGGUCAUUAAAGGCAUGAAAACAGAACACUUAAUCAUUUACAAACUGUAGCUCCGUUUUUAACAAUUGUUGAAUCUAGUAAAUGCUGACCAAAUCCAAGAACUCUCGGCAUCUAUUACGAAAUAUUAAGAAAGAAGCAAAAUCUACCCAAACAUGCCCGCAUGCUGACACAAUCACAAUGUCUACAGAUUGAAAUUAGCAGAACUUCAUCAAAAGAACACAUUACAAAGUGCACAUUUUUGUACCAUAUGAGGAGGUAGACAAAAGGACUACAACAACAUAACCCAUAUAGAACAGAGCAGCAAAACAGCAAAACAGAACCAAUCUAAGACAGAAUUCAUCUAAUCUAUACUUAAUCCACAACUUCCAGCAUGCAAUCGAAAUGGUAACAUAGCAUAUGAGACUACAAAUUGUGAUUGUUUGAUGACAAAUUGCCAUGAAAUUGAAGCCAUAUUUUCUCACAAGCAUGAAUGAGUCUAUUUGAUCAAAAUGGCAUCAAUCCAUAACCAAACCACCCUCAAGUUGGAAUCAAAUCCACACCGAAUCAUGGGAUAUCAAAACAUGGUCAGCAUCUGGUAUAUGUAAUCUCGUAACUACUACAAUUGCAAAAAAAAAAAAAAAAACCAAGAACAGCCGACAGCAAUCCCAACAUAUCAUUUGCUUUAAAAGCUUUCAAACAUAAUAUGAAUGGCAGCUUAAAUCAAAGGUUAUGAUCAUUAAACUCUGCUGCCAGAAUAUCUACACCAAAAAAAGUCAGAUGCAAAGGAACCAGCAACCUUUUUCUGUUUACCUGCAUAUGUCACAUAGAAAACUAUGUAUGCCAACUGAAAAAUUGCACCCGUGGAGUUCACCAUCAUGACCAGCAUGUUGUCACUCGAUAUUACCGGCGUGCCAUGUGCAAAGCGAGACUAUACUAACCCCAACCACAGCCAUGAUCACUUACAAGUCGCAGCACUUCUAGGUUGGACUGACAGAACACUACCGAAACUACCGAAUGAAAACUAAAGGUAAAUCCAUGUUAUUGCUCUACAUAAAAGAAACACGAGACAAAGCAAUCGAACCACAGAGCAAUCCAAAAGAGAGAGCGACAGAUCGUGCACGAGACAGAGCAAUCAAGAGAGAGAAAGAGAGAGAAAGAGAACCUGAUCCGGCUAGCCCGAUCUAGAAAGAAAACCACCGAUCGAGCGAGCAGACGUCCGAUCUCCGAGAAAGAACCAAAUCCUCACGAUCUCCAACCGCCGGCGCUCGAUCUCCGAUUGCACGCCAAUGGAGGAAAACCUUCGCCUUCGACCAGAGCUCGGGAAAGAAAAGCAAAAACCGAGAGAUCCAGAGAGGGAGCUCUGAGAGAGAAUCGAGAACUGAGAGUCUCUCUGCUCGAGCAAGCUAACCUCCGAUCUCUAGAAAGAGAGACAGAUCUGCUGUCGCCGUCGUCGUCGAUGUCGCCGAUCAGAGAGCCGAACCUGCUCGAGAGCCACCAAGAGAGAAAAACGAAGAACCAGAGAGAUCA
Molecule: long non-coding RNA, 7798 nt
Filed under: Eucalyptus grandis
Lineage: Eukaryota; Viridiplantae; Streptophyta; Magnoliopsida; Myrtales; Myrtaceae
Description: long non-coding RNA (EGRA_LNC002786)
Source: RNAcentral